GGGGGCGAUAGGUUUCGACAGGGAUAGGAGAGGUAAGAACAGCGGGUCGAGGUUCCAUGUCCUCGUAAAACCGUGGAAAAACAUUAAUUGCUAGAAACGAACAAUUAGUAGCAAUUGCAGCUUAAUUAAGCUGCACGUCUGUACUGGUCUUGUGUCUACGAGACUUUUACGGGUGUAACAUAAAGUAGACUAUCUUCUACCUUACUGCCCUGGGAGGUAGAAGAGAAAAUUAAGGGCUGGCUCAAUUUACAUCCUGUCUAUGGGAGGUAAAAAGAGCGAGAACAAAAUCAUAGACUACACUCGUAGCGGUUCUUACUGAAAUAUCUUUGGACGCGAGUUCGAAUCUCGCCGCCUCCACCA
RNAcentral lists this transfer-messenger RNA (360 nucleotides) under Atribacterota. RNAcentral describes it as "34-128 sp018819665 Standard tmRNA". It matches the Rfam family "transfer-messenger RNA". From Rfam's summary of the family: Bacterial tmRNA, also known as 10Sa RNA or SsrA, is named for its dual tRNA and mRNA-like properties. Lineage: Bacteria; Pseudomonadati. RNAcentral also lists the same sequence under 2 other names. The record is from RNAcentral.